Molecule: non-coding RNA, 88 nt
Filed under: Enterovibrio norvegicus DSM 15893
Lineage: Bacteria; Pseudomonadati; Pseudomonadota; Gammaproteobacteria; Vibrionales; Vibrionaceae
Description: GEMM cis-regulatory element
Rfam family: c-di-GMP-I riboswitch aptamer
About the family: GEMM was predicted in a large-scale screen for bacterial structured RNA regulatory elements. Genes associated with GEMM are involved in a diverse array of functions, including chemotaxis regulation, signal transduction, secretion and chitin.
Source: RNAcentral
UCAAGAAAAAGGCAAACCUCGCGAAAGCGUGGGACGCAAAGCCACCGGCCUAACAUCAUUAAUGAUGAAUGGCAGCGGAGCUACCGAU